Molecule: long non-coding RNA, 1232 nt
Organism: Lycium barbarum (goji berry)
Lineage: Eukaryota; Viridiplantae; Streptophyta; Magnoliopsida; Solanales; Solanaceae
Exons: 2
Source: RefSeq, a predicted model, not a curated record
AAAGAAAUUUCUCAUUUUUAAAAUAAGUUAUUAUUGGGUCUGGUGUGCUCUUAUAUGAAUAUCCAUAAUUUUCCUCAUAUUUAUUUAUAUUUUUAUAGAUUAAAAAGAUACUUGAAAUCCAUAUUUAUCUAUCUAAAAUAUAAGUAACUCAACUCACUAAAAUAUAAAUUAAAUGAGUUAAUUUUCUAAAUAUGGGCUCAAAUUACCCCCAUCUAAUUUCUCCCCUGAGUUUGUACUUUGUUGUAGCUGCCCAAGUAGCAAAUUUGCCUUUUAAAAAAAAAAAAAAAAUCUUAAUGUAUGGACUUAGAAUUGUCUUGGUCCCUCAUAUAUACAACUUAUGAAAAUGAUCUUUAAGUAUGUUAAAAGCUUAUCACUUUACUCUUGAGCCCCACAAACCUAACGACACCCAAAAAAAAAUCUGUCAAACUAAACGGAAGCCUCCACACGUUCCAUCUUCUUCCAUUAAUCAAUGGUCAAAAGUUCUCUUUCCAACCAAAACCCAUAAAACUAACUUGAAAGAACAGUGGGGAAAGUUCAAAUUAAGGGUUAAGACUCGAAGAGAACUACAUAUUUAUGUCAAUACCUUCAAUGGAGUAUGGAAGGAAGCGUGAAAUGUUUUCGAUUGGAUUAAGUAGAUUGUGUAGAGGAUGAUGCGAUGAACUUAUAAGUUCGAUGCAACCAUGAAGUUCUACUCGAAAUCUGGGAGAAUAUAUUGGGUGUGUAAGUCCUGUGUUAUGAGAAGUGAGAUCUUGUAAAAAAUUUCAACGGAAAGAUGAUGAGUUGAUGUAAGAACCAAAUUUGUCUAAAGUUGUUGAGUAGAAUCUCCGCAAAGAAAAGGUGGAAGCCUAUGAAGCUGCCGGGAAUCAAGCAAGCCAAAGAAUGAUGGACAAGGAGAAAGAACCGACAUACUACCUGGCUUAAGUUACAAAAUUGAAAGCCGAAUUAGAGAAACUAAAAGUCAAACGAGAAAAUGAGGAACAAGUUGAACAACUUCAAGACUAGGCAGAAUAUGCUAUGGUUUCCUCUUAUUUGUACUUGCAUUGUUGUAGUAUUAUUCUAUAACAUUCAAGGUGAUCACUUGAAGGCCAAUGUAUUAAAAUUUCUGCCAAGUCAUUUGAUGUCUUAAUUAGUAGUAUGAUUGUAAUGGUUUGGCAUGUGAUGUAAACCUUUUCUGGGAUUGUAUUAAUAGUAUCAAUUCAAAAUCUCGUUUGGUUGAACUUUUUAUGAUGAAA